UACGUAGGGAGCAAGCGUUGUCCGGAUUUACUGGGUGUAAAGGGUGCGUAGGCGGCUUUGCAAGUCAGAAGUGAAAUCCAUGGGCUUAACCCAUGAACUGCUUUUGAAACUGCAGAGCUUGAGUGGAGUAGAGGUAGGCGGAAUUCCCGGUGUAGCGGUGAAAUGCGUAGAGAUCGGGAGGAACACCAGUGGCGAAGGCGGCCUGCUGGGCCCUAACUGACGCUGAGGCACGAAAGCGUGGGUAGCAAACAGG
This 253-nucleotide ribosomal RNA is filed under the name uncultured bacterium. Its description in RNAcentral is "partial 16S ribosomal RNA". It matches the Rfam family "Bacterial small subunit ribosomal RNA", at positions 524 to 776 of the family's 1533-position model. The record is from RNAcentral.